Molecule: ribosomal RNA, 1058 nt
Filed under: Bacteroidota bacterium
Lineage: Bacteria; Pseudomonadati; Bacteroidota
Description: bacterial SSU rRNA
Rfam family: Bacterial small subunit ribosomal RNA
Source: RNAcentral
UGAAGAGUUUGAUCCUGGCUCAGGAUAAACGCUGGCGGCGUGCCUAAUGCAUGCAAGUCGAACGGGAGUAGCAAUACUCAAGUGGCAAACGGGUGAGUAACACGUGGGAACCUGCCCUUUAGUGGGGGACAACCUUUCGAAAGAGAGGCUAAUACCGCAUACGGUGGAGACACUAAAGCAGCAAUGCGCUGAAGGAGGGGCCUGCGUCUGAUUAGCUAGUAGGUGGGGUAAAAGCCUACCUAGGCGAUGAUCAGUAGCUGGUCUGAGAGGAUGGUCAGCCACACUGGGACUGAGAAACGGCCCAGACUCCUACGGGAGGCAGCAGCAAGGAAUUUUCGGCAAUGGGGGAAACCCUGACCGAGCAACGCCGCGUGGGCGAUGAAGUCUUUCGGGAUGUAAAGCCCUUUUCUGUGGGAAGAGCAAGGACGGUACCACAGGAAUAAGCACCGGCUAACUACGUGCCAGCAGCCGCGGUAAUACGUAGGGUGCAAGCGUUGUCCGGAUUUACUGGGCGUAAAGGGCGCGCAGGCGGCUUGUUAAGUUACUCGUGAAAGCCCCCGGCUAAACCGGGGAGGGUCGAGUGAUACUGGCAGGCUAAGAGAGCAGCAGAGGAUAGUGGAAUUCCCGGUGUAGUGGUGAAAUGCGUAGAUAUCGGGAGGAACACCAGUGGCGAAAGCGACUAUCUGGGCUGUGUCUGACGCUGAGGCGCGAAGGCUAGGGGAGCAAACAGGAUUAGAUACCCUGGUAGUCCUAGCAGUAAACGAUGAACACUAGGUGUGCGGGGAAAUUGACCCCCUGCGUGCCGUAGCUAACGCAAUAAGUGUUCCGCCUGGGGAGUACGGUCGCAAGAUUAAAACUCAAAGGAAUUGACGGGGACCCGCACAAGCAGCGGAGCGUGUGGUUUAAUUCGACGCAACGCGAAGAACCUUACCAGGGCUUGACAUACUACGUUCAAGGGCGGAAACGUUCUGGUCGCAAGACGAGUAGUACAGAUGCUGCAUGGCUGUCGUCAGCUCGUGUCGUGAGAUGUUGGGUUAAGUCCCGCAACGAGCGCAACC